CACUCCUAAAGCCACCAUCAUCUUUGUGGAGGAUUUAAAACCAGGCAGAAGAUGUUACAUGGCUUUCUGAAUAAAUCAAACUGCACGGACGUGGAUCGUUAACACAUUAACCCUGAGAUGCAGAGUAGACAAAGUUUUACAACCGUCCUCUCUGAGACCACCAAACCAGGGAAGAAAAUCAAAUCCAGCAAGAAUGCAGAGACGAGAAAAGAGGAACUUUGUGAAUAUGUGCCCGGUAUCCCAGAGCCAACAAGCAG
Nematolebias whitei (Rio pearlfish) is the source of this 257-nucleotide long non-coding RNA. RefSeq lists it as uncharacterized. NCBI's taxonomy places the organism in Eukaryota, Metazoa, Chordata, Actinopteri, Cyprinodontiformes, Rivulidae. The transcript has 3 exons. The record is from RefSeq and is a predicted model, not a curated record.